Long non-coding RNA from Tribolium castaneum (red flour beetle), 2721 nucleotides. RefSeq lists it as uncharacterized. The record is from RefSeq and is a predicted model, not a curated record. The transcript is spliced from 2 exons. Lineage: Eukaryota; Metazoa; Arthropoda; Insecta; Coleoptera; Tenebrionidae.
UUCAUCUGAAAAUUUGCGCUAACUUUUUGUGCGGUUUUUGGGCACGUACCUUUUGCAACGCACUUCUUCAGCAACUGGACGCUCUAUUCUAAUUUUGCUAGUUUAUAUAAUAUUUUUAUCGCAAUGAUAAAAAUACAUUUUUGAGUUGUGACACUGUUAUUACUUUAAAAACCUUUAAACUUUUGCUAAUUUUAGGACGAUCUUUCUCUGGUAGGAAAUUUGGGAUUUUCGUCUAAUUUUUGAUUUCUUGAAUCAUCGGUUAAGCUCUGAAGCUCAGAUAUUACUAAAAAAUGACAAAAUAACGGAAAUAAAACUGUUCCAAAAGUGUUGUAUUUCCGGCAAAAAGUUUUAUUAGGUCAUUAUUUCAGAUUUUACAAAUUUCAUUCGAAUAUAUGGCUCUUUUACUAUAGUAAUUAAGUUCAAUAACUUAAUGAAUUAAAUAAUUUCGCCUAUUUUAUCUUAUCGCCUUGGCCAUGUCCAGCUUUCAUUAUCUCAUUUAUUUAGAUUACGACUGUUAUUAUUAUUAUUUUUUAUUAAAAAAUGUUGCAAUGGAACAGGAAACAAUAAUUGUGGGUUUUUACGUUAUUAGCUAAUCGUCAUUUUUAAAUUAUUACAUUUAUUGGCACUUGUUGGCGCAACUGUUGAUGCAUUGGUUGGUUGAGCAUUGACUGGAGCAUCUGUUGACGCAUGAAGAACACGAUUGGGUGUUGCAGGAUUGUGGUUGAUUCUGGCAGGAGGUUUGGCAGCCUUGAACACAGUAAUUUGUGCAUUGUUUUGUGCUGCAGUCGUUGGCGCAUUGGUUAACGCACUGGUUGCAAUUUAUAUUGGAACAACACACGUUGUUGCUGCUGCAGCUGUUGCAGCUGCGACCGUCGCAAGAGUUGCAACCGCUGUUUGAGCAAAUUUGGCGCUUUUGGAUGUUGCGGAUUGUUGUUGAGAGGGAGAUUUGCAAGGUGAGGGCCAGGAAAAGGCCCACAAGUAAAAGCUUCAUCUGAAAAUUUCGUUAGUUUUUUUGAGUUAUUUCUGGGUGACGUACCGUUUGUAAUACACAGCUUAAUUAACUGGUCAUUCUAUUCUAAUUUUGCCAGUUUAUAUAAUUUUUUUAUCGCAUUGAUAAGCAUAUUUUUUUCUAAUUCUGACACCAUUAUUACUUUAUAACAACUCUUCAAUUUAUUUUUUUGUUGACUCUUUCGAUUUCGGUAUAAAUGUGAAAGAAAUUACAUCUUUGAAAUGAACUUUCUCGUUUGGCGAAGCCGAUAAAAUGAAAAGUUUUAAGAACUACAAAGGGGUUUUGAAAAAAUUGGCAAAAUUUUACUAGCUGUUUAACAUGCACAACAAUUAUAACAAACUCUUUUGAACUUUUUUAUUGUAAACUUUUAUACUUUUUUUUAAUUCAAACAAAAUUGUGCAACGUAGAAAUUACACCUAAAGCUCAAUAAAUAAUAUGACAUUUAUAAAGCAACGUGCCAACUUUCCUUCUGUAAAGGUGAUUGUUACUAUUCUGUAUUUUUGGUUGUUUUACAGAAUUAUUCUAAGAUACUUUUCGUAAAUUGCUCUUAUUGUAAUAAUUAAGUUCAAUAACACAAUGAAGAAUGUAAUUUCGACUCGUUUAUCUUAUCAAUAUGACCAAGUCCAUUUUUAAUUAUUUUAUUUUUGGUUAUUGUUAUGUAUUAUAACUUUUUGUUAAAUCAUUUGAUAUAACAGGAAAUAAAUGUGGAUCUUUCGAUUACUGCUGACUUAUUAAACCGUUUAUUGUUUAAACUGAAGUCUAAAGUAUUCUAUUCACUUUAUAAAAAAAUAAUCAGACAUUAUCAAGUUAAGUCCUUUUAGUUUUUGAGGUUUGCAAUAUUUUAUUUUAUUUUUUUUUCAAUGACAUUCUAGUAUGUAUUUUUUUUAGUUAACGAUCAUGCUCCAAAAAUUACCUACUUCAACUAUUAAUACUGUUUAGGUAAUUGCAAAUUAUUUUUUUCGGGAAAUAAAUAGUUCAGUAAAUAGUUUUUAAUAAAAUAAUAAAAAUUUAGAAGAAGGCUAAUACCAAAUUGUAUUUCUACGUUUCUCAGGGAAGUAAUAAAUAAAACUAUAAAAAAAAUAUUUAAAAAUGUUUUAAUACAGUAAUUGGCGUGACGCCUGUAUGUCCUAAGGAAGUCUUUACAGUGAAGGCAUCGUCGCUCGCUUUAGGCCAUGUUGAGGGGAAUCAUGUGAUGGAAAAUAGCAGAAGGCAGUCCAGGAUAUUAAGGAAUAUAUUUUUAGAGGAGGUCUGGAUGAGUCUAGUAGAAAAUUCAUUACCUUGUUGUAACACAUACAUAUUUUUGAAAGUUGAAGCGUCUCAAAGUAAUUUAAGUAACGUGUGUAAUGACAAUAUAUUUAUACCAUCUAAACCUUUAUUAGUUUCUAAUAAGAUAAAGCAAACUGUUAUUAAUUUUAAUUCAAAUUCUCAAGUGUUUUCAUGCUGUGAUAAAUUGGAAGUAUUUAAAGAUUCUUGCGAUGUGGAAGGUCCAGGAAAAUGUGAACGUAAUUUUAAUGAAAAAGACAAAAGUUCAGAAAAUGGAGAAACGUGGUUGCAGUCCACAAUUGUAAUUCGCGGUUUUAAAGAUUGUUUUGUAAAUAAAGUAGCGGCUUCUGAAUUAUGGUAAUCUUUUAGGGAGUAUCAAUUUUUAACUGGAAUUUUUUAUAUCUACAAUGAAUUUUAAGUAAAGAAAAUAUACCUACAUUUUUAUGAAA